RNAcentral lists this ribosomal RNA (592 nucleotides) under Escherichia coli. Its description in RNAcentral is "partial 16S ribosomal RNA". It matches the Rfam family "Bacterial small subunit ribosomal RNA", at positions 1 to 351 of the family's 1533-position model. Lineage: Bacteria; Pseudomonadati; Pseudomonadota; Gammaproteobacteria; Enterobacterales; Enterobacteriaceae. The record is from RNAcentral.
AAAUUGAAGAGUUUGAUCAUGGCUCAGAUUGAACGCUGGCGGCAGGCCUAACACAUGCAAGUCGAACGGUAACAGGAAGAAGCUUGCUUCUUUGCUGACGAGUGGCGGACGGGUGAGUAAUGUCUGGGAAACUGCCUGAUGGAGGGGGAUAACUACUGGAAACGGUAGCUAAUACCGCAUAACGUCGCAAGACCAAAGAGGGGGACCUUCGGGCCUCUUGCCAUCGGAUGUGCCCAGAUNNNNNNNNNNACAGCUUGCUGUUUCGCUGACGAGUGGCGGACGGGUGAGUAAUGUCUGGGAAACUGCCUGAUGGAGGGGGAUAACUACUGGAAACGGUAGCUAAUACCGCAUAACGUCGCAAGACCAAAGAGGGGGACCUUCGGGCCUCUUGCCAUCGGAUGUGCCCAGAUNNNNNNNNNNCGUCGCAAGACCAAAGAGGGGGACCCUCGGGCCUCUUGCCAUCGGAUGUGCCCAGAUGGGAUUAGCUUGUUGGUGGGGUAACGGCUCACCAAGGCGACGAUCCCUAGCUGGUCUGAGAGGAUGACCAGCCACACUGGAACUGAGACACGGUCCAGACUCCUACGGGAGGCAG